CGACCCCAUAGACGGCAGCCCACCAGGCUCUGCUGUCCCUGGGAUUCUCCAGGCAAGAACACUGGGGUGGGUUGCCAUUUCCUUCUCCAGUGCAUGCAAGUGAAAAGUGAAAGUGAAGUCGCUCAGUCGUGCCCGACUCUUCGCGACCCCAUGGACCGCAGCCUACCAGGCUCCUCCUUCCAUGGGAUUCUCCAGGCAAGAAUACCGGAAUAGGUUGCCAUUUCCUUCACCUGGAUUUGAACAAAUAUAAAAUGACAUGUAUCCAUCAUUAUAAUGUCAUACAGAGUAUUUUCAUGGCCCUAAAAUUCCUCUGUGGUUCUUGAUUAGGUAUUUCCUCAUGUGGUCCAACAUUAAAACAUUCAAAAGUCUCCCUUCCAGACAGUCCCAUAGCCACCCAGUUCCAUUCCACCCAGAGACCACCCAUGUGUUACUUUUUUGAAUAUACAUUUGGAGAUAUUUUAUACACAUAAUAUGGGAGAGCAAAUUGAUGAGAGGUAAAGUGAAACAUGAAAUAUAGAAGUAAUAACAGGUUGGCAUCAAAAACAGAACUGAAAGUACACACACAGGGAAAAAUCAGAUAGGUUUGCUUGACGCCAGCUGAGCUUAUGAGAUAUAAUGUAAAGCAACCACCUGGCUCUUUGCAUGAUUUGGGUCACGGAUGCACAAGGUAGGCUGCACACAUCUGGAAGGAAGGCAGUUUGCAUCAGAGCCAUCACCAAGAUGAUUAGAGAGUACUUCUGAAGCUGAAAUCAUGCGAAGGAACCUCUUUCUUGGAAUCUUCAGACGACGUUGGGUUGAUUUGUCUUCACAACACCUUUUCACCUGUCUUCACCCACUGUGAAGUUCUGCAGAAUUUGGCAUCCAUUGCAAAGAACACCUCAUGGUCCAAAAUGGCUGCUUUAGCUCUAGCCAUCAUAUCCUCAUUCCAAGCCACAAAGGAUAAAGCAGAGAACUGAACAGGGCCCGCAAUCCUGCAUGUGCUUUUCAAUAAUCCCAUGACUAGUCAGUGAGGAUGGAGCAGUGACCCCAAGACAGAAGACUUCAUUUGGCAUGACUCACCCUUGGAGACAUCCAGCUCGCCUGGCGUGUGUUGUUAAGUGCCUGGUUCUGUAAAUAUUGACAGUCAGAAACCAUCCUGAGAGCUAGGAAGCAAUGACCUUGCUUCGUAGGAAGUGACUCCUCUGCUGAUGUGUGACUCAGAGUUGAUAUAUUAUGGGGUCUGAUUCAGCAAGGAAAGUUUGGUCUGCCACCGCAGAGAACAACAUCCAAGGCCACUUCGGUUUCCAGGAUACUGGUUUCUUGACAAGUGUGGCAUUAAGAAGGAAAAGCUCAGAAGGAGUCUCCAUAUUUGAGAAACUGAAGCAGGUGUGGAGGGAUAAAGAGCAGAACAGUGCAUUAAAAAAAUAAAAUUUAUUUAUUUA
Long non-coding RNA from Dama dama (fallow deer), 1421 nucleotides. RefSeq lists it as uncharacterized. The transcript is spliced from 5 exons. The record is from RefSeq and is a predicted model, not a curated record. Lineage: Eukaryota; Metazoa; Chordata; Mammalia; Artiodactyla; Cervidae.